CAGAGCUGAGUGAAUAGUAAGUUAUAACUCAGAAGCAACAUUCAGAGAAGGCUACACCUUGUGAAGGAUGUCUUCAGAGUUCACAAAAAGAACAUUGUGGGGGUGAAAGUUUUAGCUUAGAAGGCAAAAGAUUUCAAAAAUAUACAGAAUCAAAAUGAUGUUAAAAAUAAACAUGGAGGCAUUCCACUACUGUUUAUGAAAGAAUAGUUCAUGAGCAAACUGACCUACUGAGAACAACUAUAAAAGCUAUAAAUGGACAAGAAACAGCUCUUUGGAGGCACGCGUGGACACCCACAUCCACACCCACCCAGCCCCCCAAGACAAAGCAGCACAACUUCAGGAAACAAAUUGGGAGACAACAGGAAUAAUACAUUGAGAUGAACCCCAUAUUUGCUACUGUUUUCUUUCCCUGUAUCAAUAUAUUUUAGAUUAGUAAUGGGGCAUAGAGGCCAAGAAAAAGGGAUACCCUCAAAAUUUGUGACAAGCUCACUAGGCUGCCAAAAGGAAUGAUGUUGGGAAAUGUCUCAGACUUUGAAUUGAUAAUCUUGAAGGACUACACUCUAGGAGUAAGGGCAAGCUUAAUACAGACAAGUCCUCAAAACACUAGAAGCAGAACCUAGAAUCAAUGAAACCUCUGUUUAGAUCCAGGUUAUAUGCCUGUACUUUAUAUGACCACCAGAAAAAGUAUCCUCUUUAAAGAAAUAUAGCAUC
RNAcentral lists this long non-coding RNA (711 nucleotides) under Homo sapiens (human). RNAcentral's name for it is "HSALNT0082165". The record is from RNAcentral. Lineage: Eukaryota; Metazoa; Chordata; Mammalia; Primates; Hominidae.